GGACGAACGCUGGCGGCGUGCCUAACACAUGCAAGUCGAACGAGGUCCACGGAGUGCUUGCACUCCCGAAGACCUAGUGGCGAACGGGUGAGUAACACGUGAGAAACCUGCCCCAGACUCUGGGAUAACCCAAGGAAACUUGAGCUAAUACCGGAUAUUCUCCUUCGGUCGCAUGGCUGAUGGAGGAAAGUUUUUCGGUCUGGGAGGGUCUCGCGGCCUAUCAGCUAGUUGGUGAGGUAACGGCUCACCAAGGCGACGACGGGUAGCUGGUUUGAGAGAACGAUCAGCCACACUGGAACUGAGACACGGUCCAGACUCCUACGGGAGGCAGCAGUGGGGAAUCUUGCGCAAUGGGCGAAAGCCUGACGCAGCAACGCCGCGUGCGGGAUGACGGCCCUCGGGUUGUAAACCGCUUUCAGCAGGGACGAAAAUGACGGUACCUGCAGAAGAAGCCCCGGCUAACUACGUGCCAGCAGCCGCGGUAAUACGUAGGGGGCAAGCGUUGUCCGGAUUUAUUGGGCGUAAAGAGCUCGUAGGCGGUUCCGUAAGUCGAGUGUGAAAAAUCUGGGCUCAACCCAGUGGAGCACUCGAUACUGCGGUGACUAGAGUACGGUAGAGGAGUGUGGAAUUCCUGGUGUAGCGGUGAAAUGCGCAGAUAUCAGGAGGAACACCAACGGCGAAGGCAGCACUCUGGGCCGGUACUGACGCUGAGGAGCGAAAGCGUGGGGAGCAAACAGGAUUAGAUACCCUGGUAGUCCACGCCGUAAACGUUGGGCACUAGGUGUGGGGAGGAAUCAACCCUUUCCGUGCCGUAGCUAACGCAUUAAGUGCCCCGCCUGGGGAGUACGGCCCGCAGGCUAAAACUCAAAG
This 870-nucleotide ribosomal RNA is filed under the name uncultured bacterium. Its description in RNAcentral is "bacterial SSU rRNA". It matches the Rfam family "Bacterial small subunit ribosomal RNA", at positions 27 to 906 of the family's 1533-position model. The record is from RNAcentral.